RNAcentral lists this ribosomal RNA (892 nucleotides) under uncultured bacterium. Its description in RNAcentral is "bacterial SSU rRNA". It matches the Rfam family "Bacterial small subunit ribosomal RNA", at positions 8 to 916 of the family's 1533-position model. The record is from RNAcentral.
AGAGUUUGAUCAUGGCUCAGGAUCAACGCUGGCGGCGUGCCUAAAACAUGCAAGUCGGACGCUCACCUUCGGCUUCGGCUGGGGGUGGGAGUGGCGGACGGCUGAGUAGCACGUGGGCGACCUGCCCUCUGGUGGGGGAUAACCGCGCGAAAGCGUGGCUAAGACCGCAUGAGCUCGGCGCUUCGGUGGGCCGAGGAAAGCAGCGAUGCGCCAGAGGAGGGGCCCGCGGCCGAUUAGCUAGUUGGUGGGGUAGCGGCCUACCAAGGCAGCGAUCGGUAGCCGGUCUGAGAGGAUGGCCGGCCAGACUGGGACUGAGAGACGGCCCAGACUCCUGCGGGAGGCAGCGGUUAGGAAUUUUGGGCAAUGGGCGCAAGCCUGACCCAGCAACGCCGCGUGGGCGACGAAGCCCUUCGGGGUGUAAAGCCCUUUUCCCAGGGACGAAUCUGACGGUACCUGGGGAAGAAGCCCCGGCUAACUACGUGCCAGCAGCCGCGGUAAUACGUAGGGGGCGAGCGUUGUCCGGAUUCAUUGGGCGUAAAGCGCGCGCAGGCGGCAGCCGGAGCCCGGCGUGAAAGCUCCCAGCUUAACUGGGAGAGGUCGUCGGGGACCCGGCAGCUCGAGGCCGGUAGGGGUGAGCGGAAUUCCCGGUGUAGUGGUGGAAUGCGUAGAGAUCGGGAGGAACACCGGUGGCGAAGGCGGCUCACUGGGCCGGUCCUGACGCUCAGGCGCGAAAGCGUGGGGAGCGAUCCGGAUUAGAUACCCGGGUAGUCCACGCUGUAAACGAUGGGUGCUAGGUGUCGGGGGUAUCGACCCCCUCGGUGCCGCAGCUAACGCGAUAAGCACCCCGCCUGGGGAGUACGGCCGCAAGGCUAAAACUCAAAUGAAUUGACGG